RNAcentral lists this ribosomal RNA (599 nucleotides) under Oceanobacillus massiliensis str. N'diop. Its description in RNAcentral is "bacterial SSU rRNA". It matches the Rfam family "Bacterial small subunit ribosomal RNA", at positions 76 to 652 of the family's 1533-position model. The record is from RNAcentral. Lineage: Bacteria; Bacillati; Bacillota; Bacilli; Caryophanales; Bacillaceae.
CCCUUCGGGGUGACGCUUGUGGAACGAGCGGCGGACGGGUGAGUAACACGUGGGCAACCUGCCUGUAAGAUUGGGAUAACUCGCGGAAACGUGAGCUAAUACCGAAUAAUACUUUUUGUCUCCUGGCAAGAAGAUGAAAGGCGGCUUUUAGCUGUCACUUACAGAUGGGCCCGCGGCGCAUUAGCUAGUUGGUGAGGUAACGGCUCACCAAGGCGACGAUGCGUAGCCGACCUGAGAGGGUGAUCGGCCACACUGGGACUGAGACACGGCCCAGACUCCUACGGGAGGCAGCAGUAGGGAAUCUUCCGCAAUGGACGAAAGUCUGACGGAGCAACGCCGCGUGAGUGAUGAAGGUUUUCGGAUCGUAAAACUCUGUUGUCAGGGAAGAACAAGUGCGAGAGUAACUGCUCGCACCUUGACGGUACCUGACCAGAAAGCCACGGCUAACUACGUGCCAGCAGCCGCGGUAAUACGUAGGUGGCAAGCGUUGUCCGGAAUUAUUGGGCGUAAAGCGCUCGCAGGCGGUCUUUUAAGUCUGAUGUGAAAGCCCACGGCUUAACCGUGGAGGGUCAUUGGAAACUGGAGGACUUGAGUACAGA